RNAcentral lists this ribosomal RNA (498 nucleotides) under uncultured bacterium. RNAcentral's name for it is "partial 16S ribosomal RNA". It matches the Rfam family "Bacterial small subunit ribosomal RNA", at positions 30 to 523 of the family's 1533-position model. The record is from RNAcentral.
AUUGAACGCUGGCGGCAUGCCUUACACAUGCAAGUCGAACGGUAACAGGUCUUCGGAUGCUGACGAGUGGCGAACGGGUGAGUAAUACAUCGGAACGUGCCUAGUAGUGGGGGAUAACUACUCGAAAGAGUGGCUAAUACCGCAUGAGAUCUACGGAUGAAAGCAGGGGAUCGCAAGACCUUGUGCUACUAGAGCGGCCGAUGGCAGAUUAGGUAGUUGGUGGGAUAAAAGCUUACCAAGCCGACGAUCUGUAGCUGGUCUGAGAGGACGAUCAGCCACACUGGGACUGAGACACGGCCCAGACGCCUACGGGAGGCAGCAGUGGGGAAUUUUGGACAAUGGGCGAAAGCCUGAUCCAGCAAUGCCGCGUGCAGGAUGAAGGCCUUCGGGUUGUAAACUGCUUUUGUACGGAACGAAAAGCCCCGGGUUAAUACCCUGGGGUCAUGACGGUACCGUAAGAAUAAGCACCGGCUAACUACGUGCCAGCAGCCGCAGUAA